This 164-nucleotide ribosomal RNA is filed under the name Diabelia ionostachya var. wenzhouensis. RNAcentral describes it as "5.8S ribosomal RNA". It matches the Rfam family "5.8S ribosomal RNA". Rfam says of the family: 5.8S ribosomal RNA (5.8S rRNA) is a component of the large subunit of the eukaryotic ribosome. It is transcribed by RNA polymerase I as part of the 45S precursor that also contains 18S and 28S rRNA. The record is from RNAcentral. Lineage: Eukaryota; Viridiplantae; Streptophyta; Magnoliopsida; Dipsacales; Caprifoliaceae.
CAAACGACUCUCGGCAACGGAUAUCUCGGCUCUCGCAUCGAUGAAGAACGUAGCGAAAUGCGAUACUUGGUGUGAAUUGCAAAAUCCCGUGAACCAUCGAGUCUUUGAACGCAAGUUGCGCCCGAAGCCUUUAGGCCGAGGGCACGUCUGCCUGGGCGUCACGC